Molecule: ribosomal RNA, 206 nt
Filed under: uncultured bacterium
Lineage: Bacteria
Description: partial 16S ribosomal RNA
Rfam family: Bacterial small subunit ribosomal RNA
Source: RNAcentral
UGCGCAGGCGGUUUUGUAAGACAGAUGUGAAAUCCCCGGGCUUAACCUGGGAACUGCGUUUGUGACUGCAAGGCUAGAGUACGGCAGAGGGGGGUGGAAUUCCUGGUGUAGCAGUGAAAUGCGUAGAUAUCAGGAGGAACACCGAUGGCGAAGGCAGCCCCCUGGGCCUGUACUGACGCUCAUGCACGAAAGCGUGGGAGCAAACA